UUAAUACUCCCUCAGUCCGAAAAUUCUUGUCUUAAAUAUUUCUACGUAUCAAUGUAUCUAGUCACGUUUUAAUAUUUACAUACAUUUAAUUCUAGACAAACUUAAGACAAAAAAUUUGGAACGGAGGAAGUAGGAU
Non-coding RNA from Hordeum vulgare subsp. vulgare (domesticated barley), 136 nucleotides. NCBI's taxonomy places the organism in Eukaryota, Viridiplantae, Streptophyta, Magnoliopsida, Poales, Poaceae. The record is from Rfam.